GGGCAAGUAGUUCAAUCCGGUAGAACGCUCCGCUGGCAGCGGAGAGGCUGUGGGUUCAAAUCCCGCCUUGUCCA
This 74-nucleotide transfer RNA is filed under the name Candidatus Woesearchaeota archaeon. RNAcentral's name for it is "tRNA-Ala". It matches the Rfam family "tRNA". From Rfam's summary of the family: Transfer RNA (tRNA) molecules are approximately 80 nucleotides in length. Their secondary structure includes four short double-helical elements and three loops (D, anti-codon, and T loops). The record is from RNAcentral. Lineage: Archaea; Nanobdellati; Candidatus Woesearchaeota.